UACGUAGGGGGCAAGCGUUGUCCGGAUUUAUUGGGCGUAAAGAGCGUGUAGGCGGCCAUGUAGGUCCGUUGUGAAAACUCGAGGCUCAACCUCGAGACGCCGAUGGAAACCAUGUGGCUAGAGUCCGGAAGGGGAGAGUGGAAUUCCUGGUGUAGCGGUGAAAUGCGCAGAUAUCAGGAAGAACACCCGUGGCUAAGGCGGCUCUCUAGUACGGUACUGACGCUGAGACGCGAAAGCGUGGGGAGCGAACAGG
Molecule: ribosomal RNA, 253 nt
Filed under: uncultured bacterium
Lineage: Bacteria
Description: partial 16S ribosomal RNA
Rfam family: Bacterial small subunit ribosomal RNA
Source: RNAcentral